UUAAGUAUGUAUUAUAAUUUUAUAUAUGUAGAUAUAAAUUUAAAUAAGAAUUUUAAAUAGUACUACAAAUCUUGUUUUGUCUUCUUCCGUACAGAAAUGGAGCGAUCCGUCUGCAGCACACCGAUCACCCCUCGCCGCACCCUCACUCCCAAUCCGCGGCCGUCUCCUUCGCCGACAUGUACAUCAUGCACCUGCAGCGCCCUGCGGUCUCCCUCCACCAGCUCGGUCUCCACUCCCGUCUCGCGCCCCCAAACCCAGCCGUUCAGGCGACGCCGCCGCGCCGCCGCUCACCGCUGUCCCCGUUCCCUGCGGCCGCGGCCGCGGCCAUCGCAGGGAGCAGGCUCGCUUAUCGUCUCCCCCGCGCCUCCGCCGCCGCAAACCCUCAUCCGGACCCUCAGGAUGAGCCGCAGCCGAGGGGCGGGUUCUGGGCCAAAUGGAUGGCGGAGAGCGCGGAGAUGAGGGCGAAGGUGGCCAAGCUCGGCCUGUCCGCCGUGCUGGCCUACGGCCUGUUCGACGCCGUCACCUACACGACGUUCUUCGUGCUCGCCUUUCUCGGCUACGAGAAGAGCACCGGCAAGAACCCUGCAGCCAAUCUCAAGGCCUUGCUUGGGAUAGUUAUCCUAAUGUGGACCGGUAACAAUGUUACUAGGCCAUUCCGAGUUGCUGGUGCAGCUGCGUUGGCACCGGUGAUUGACAAAGGUUUGAAGGGUAUUCAAGAGAAACUUAACCUUCCAAGCCAGAUGUAUGCUUUCGCACUUGUGGUUGGCUCCGUGGCUGCAGUAUGCUUCACAAUUUUCGGUUGCUUGAUCCUCUCAAAAUGGGGAAAGUGAAGAGUCAAUCCUCCCAUGUCCACAGUUAGAAUCCUGGUCCUCAACAAGAUGAGCAAGCAAAUAAUGCAUCCUCUUCUGCAUAUUUGUAUGAACAUUGGAUCCAACUAGUGCAUUAAAAAAAACAGGUGUUAUACUGAUAUGUCACUUGGAGUUGCAACUAGGAGGACAAGCAGAAGGCAAUUGCUAGUUACCCUGUGUCGUUUCCUCCAGCAGGGUUCCUUGGAGUUGGAGGGGCUCCGAUAGAAAAACUGAUGCCUUCCACCGUAUGUCCUGAUAAAGUAAAGGUAGAAAAUGUGGAGAAAUCUUAGCUUUAAUACCUGACCCUUUUCAUUCUGCUCGUAGUAUUAGCUUGAUAUUCAGUAAUAUUUGAAGGUACAUACCACCGCUCUCUGCUAGUUCCAGUCCUCCUGAAUUCUUGUUCUGCCUUCCCAGUCUAUAUUUCUAAUUACACAAUAGAAGUUGCAGUAGCACGGUGUUAGUAUAACCAAGCAAACAAAAUGAAGACCAAAUAUAUGCCAUGUUUCAGAAAAUGGAACCGAGUUCAAACCUGAAGGUGGCUUUUUAGAUGGUACAGAGUGAGUCCUUUCAUGCCCAUUAAUCUGAGCACCGACUUGGGUGUUGCUUCUGUUACAGGAAGCACGAUCAGAAUGGAGACAAUUAAUUAUUUCUAUGCUAAUAAAUGAAGCAAGAUCAUGCAUAAGAAUAUAAGAUCAGGCUGGACUAUGCAUGAUUUCUUUUUACCUAGCAUGACAGAUGAUGUGAGUAUACUAAUACUGUUCUUUCGAAAUGAAAUUCUUGACACUGAAAUUGAAAAUCAAUUUGCAUGCCCAAAAUUAGCCAUGCAGCUAUGCAUAGUUAUGACUAACUGUUUAAACACAAACGGUGCCCGCUGCCUUGACAAGUCUAUGAAGCUUGUGUCAGCUGCAGAGUCAGGCAUGGCAACAAGAUUUGGACUGAACAAUGCAACAGCCAACAGCACUACUGCAGUUUAGUUUGGAAAAAUCAGCAGACAAGGGCCAAAUUAAAGCCGAUCAUUGCACCGUGAGUCCGUGACGCGAGGAGGAGCAAUAUAAGCAAAGGACUCACUGUCUGGGCCGCCGAGCUUGGUGACGGCGUCGACGAAGCGCUCGUGGAGGUCCGGCGUCCACCGCAGCCGCGGCUUCGGGUCCCGCGCCGGCGCCGCCGUCACUCCGCCGUAGCACCCUUCCAUCCCCUGAAACAUCUCCGU
This is an RNA transcript of Oryza brachyantha (malo sina), 2058 nucleotides long. RefSeq lists it as uncharacterized. The transcript is spliced from 5 exons. The record is from RefSeq and is a predicted model, not a curated record. Lineage: Eukaryota; Viridiplantae; Streptophyta; Magnoliopsida; Poales; Poaceae.